RNAcentral lists this ribosomal RNA (116 nucleotides) under Streptococcus agalactiae GB00947. The record is from RNAcentral. Lineage: Bacteria; Bacillati; Bacillota; Bacilli; Lactobacillales; Streptococcaceae.
UUAAGUGAUAAUUGCCUAGGAGAUACACCUGUUCUCAUGCCGAACACAGAAGAUAAGCCCUAGAACGCCGGAAGUAGUUGGGGGUUGCCCCCUGUGAGAUAAGGUAGUCGCUUAGC